RNAcentral lists this ribosomal RNA (117 nucleotides) under Rothia terrae. Lineage: Bacteria; Bacillati; Actinomycetota; Actinomycetes; Micrococcales; Micrococcaceae. The record is from RNAcentral.
UUCCGUGGUUAUAGCGAGAGGGAAACACCUGGUUCCAUCCCGAACCCAGUAGUUAAGGCUCUUUGCGCUGAUGGUACUGCACUUUGGAGGGUGUGGGAGAGUAGGUCACCGCGGGUU